AUACGUAGGGGACAAGCGUUGUCCGGAAUGACUGGGCGUAAAGGGCGCAUAGGCGGUCUAUUAAGUCUGAUGUGAAAGGUACCGGCUCAACCGGUGAAGUGCAUUGGAAACUGGUAGACUUGAGUAUUGGAGAGGCAAGUGGAAUUCCUAGUGUGGCGGUGAAAUGCGUAGAUAUUAGGAGGAACACCAGUGGCGAAGGCGGCUUGCUGGACAAAUACUGACGCUGAGGUGCGAAAGCGUGGGGAGCGAACAGGAUUAGAUACCCUGGUAGUCCACGCCGUAACCGAUGAAUGCUAGGUGUUGGGGAAACUCAGUGCCGCAGUUAACACAAUAAGUAUUCCACCUGGGGAGUACGUACGCAAGUAUGAAACUUAAAGGAAUUGACGGGG
RNAcentral lists this ribosomal RNA (389 nucleotides) under uncultured bacterium. Its description in RNAcentral is "partial 16S ribosomal RNA". It matches the Rfam family "Bacterial small subunit ribosomal RNA", at positions 523 to 918 of the family's 1533-position model. The record is from RNAcentral.